RNAcentral lists this ribosomal RNA (253 nucleotides) under uncultured bacterium. RNAcentral's name for it is "partial 16S ribosomal RNA". It matches the Rfam family "Bacterial small subunit ribosomal RNA", at positions 524 to 776 of the family's 1533-position model. The record is from RNAcentral.
UACGAAGGGUGCGAGCGUUAAUCGGAAUUACUGGGCGUAAAGCGCGCGUAGGCGGUUUGUUAAGUUGGAGGUGAAAUCCCCGGGCUCAACCUGGGAAGUGCCUCCAAAACUGGCUGACUAGAGUACGGUAGAGGGUGGUGGAAUUUCCUGUGUAGCGGUGAAAUGCGUAGAUAUAGGAAGGAACACCAGUGGCGAAGGCGACCACCUGGACUGAUACUGACGCUGAGGUGCGAAAGCGUGGGGAGCAAACAGG